GACGAACGCUGGCGGCGUGCUUAACACAUGCAAGUCGAGCGGUAAGGCCCUUUCGGGGGUACACGAGCGGCGAACGGGUGAGUAACACGUGGGUGACCUGCCCUCAGCUCUGGGAUAGCUGGAACGGGUCUAAUACUGGAUAUGACUCCAUGACGCAUGUUGGUGGGGUGGAAAGCCUUGUGCGGCUGAGGAUGGGCCCGCGGCUAUCAGCUUGUUGGUGGGGUGAGG
Molecule: ribosomal RNA, 228 nt
Filed under: uncultured bacterium
Lineage: Bacteria
Description: partial 16S ribosomal RNA
Rfam family: Bacterial small subunit ribosomal RNA
Source: RNAcentral